Molecule: long non-coding RNA, 1939 nt
Organism: Ahaetulla prasina
Lineage: Eukaryota; Metazoa; Chordata; Lepidosauria; Squamata; Colubridae
Exons: 3
Source: RefSeq, a predicted model, not a curated record
CAUUUUGGGUGAAGUGCAGCUGCUUUUGCAUUGUUUGUGAGUCAGUUGUGUUGUGUUGUGUGUGUGUAAAGUGUGAAAGUUGGUUUUUGAACUUUUUGUGUGCUUUUACAUUGUGUGUUCUCAGCUAACAAAGCUCCUUUUUUUCCCCUUUUUCAGUAGCUGCCACCUUUAACAGGAAGGAUGAAAAGGCAACAGACUUUGAUGGGUUUCUUGGCCAUGAAACCAAAACUUGCACAACAACCAUUAGAAAUGGAUCCAAAACCAUCCCAAGCACCACAACCACCACCACUUCCACCACUUGAAACUGGAGAAAACAGCAAGUCAAGUAUUGAGUCACCCGCCACGCCUGAAAUUGGAAGCAUUCUUCCAGACUGCUGGACCUUGCAACAGUACAGCAACUGCCAAGAGAAGUAGGAGGGGUUGGAAGUUUCAAACAAGAAACUAGGUUGCAAGUAUUGUGCAAAACAUGACUUUGCAAUAGAGAGCGGUAUUCAUGUGUCCAAAAAGUAGAAGCUUUUCAAGAUUGAGGCAGCUGGGAAAAACAAGGAAAUGCAGCAGGCGUGUCUCUAAGGAAGAAAAUGAGAGAACAUUUCAUAGUGAAAUUGCACACCAUUUGUAGGGACAACAUGAAACAAGCUGAGCAGGAAGCCAUGACAAAAGCAACGGACAAGAUUUCUGAAAGCAAUUUGCCACCACUUCUAAAAUGUUCAAAACUGUUUACCAAUUUCAAGCAUAGAGGAUUUGAUAGAAUUACAAACUGAAAAUGGAGUAGAUCAGAACAACUGUGCAAAUUUGGGGACAUUUUCAAUUACAACAUUAACAUCAACGACUAUAGAGAUUUUGUGGAGAAUGUGUUAAAAGAUUCAAAGAGGUAUGCAAUUCCUGACAGUAUUAAAAAAGCAUAUUGUCAGAACAAUUGCAGUACGUUCUGCAGAAGCGGAAAGGGUUUUUUGAAAAAGAACUUCAUAUGUUCAGAGAGCAGAAGUCGCCUAACCGUUUCCAAUUUAACCAUCCUCAUGAUCAUCAGUGUUACUGGCCUAUCUCUUCCAAAAUGGGACCCUAUUCCUGCAGUGAAAAAGUGGUUCAGAGAUCACCAUCACUCAGCCAAUGAUCCAUGCAUAAAGUGGAAGUGAUGAGAGUGCCAAUGAAAUAGCUAUGUGGAAACAACUUAUAGCUAAAGACAACUAACAGUUUUAUGUCAAAAAAGGGCAAAGAAGUGAUGUCGACUUGGCCACACCCACCCGGUCACCUGACCACCAAGCCACACCCACCAAAUAAGCCACAACCACAGAACCGGGCUGACAAUCUCCCUCAAAUGGUGCUGUCGUCAUAUUUUACGUUUCACCUUCUGGAGCAUCAAGGACAACCAAGAAGCUUCUCAGAUUUGUGAAUAGUGAGAGGUUGCGUGGAAGCAAUCAAUUUCAUUCAGAACUCCGUCAACUGCUCAUGCCCAGGCACAGACUAAGGCCACCAGAUUCAUAAGCAAACCUUCUUGAAAUCCCACACAGGGACCUCGAGACAUCCAGGCUGAGGUGAACUAAUUUAAUAGGUGAUGCCUCCCUGAGGAGAGGGCAAUGCCAGCAAGCUGCAAACCAAUCAGUGUAACAUGAUGGUGAUAAAAAAAACAUCUAGUGAGCUAUCUCAAAUAUGGGUCAGGUCCAUGGACACCAUCUUAGUCAAGAAUUCCUGGGCUGCCCAGACUCUAUGCAACUCAAAGGAAAGUUAAAAUCUCUGAGGAUUAUCACUCUCUGGAAUUCCACUGCUGACAAAGUGACAGAUAAGCAAGUCAAAGAGAGUUUUUGUUGUGUAGGAAGGAGGUGGUACAGCAAUAACAAGCCUAACUGCCCCCUACCUGCCACAUUGUUGUCUCAUCACUGCUGUAAGUCCUGAUAGUCAUGCCAUGGGCCAUAGUCUUCUAUUGUACAGCUAUCAAGGCUCU